CUACUACCUGACAUGCUAGGAAUCCCGCAGAGAUGUGGAGUGCUCGAAGAGAACCUGGACACAGGUGCUGCAUGGCUGUCGUCAGCUCGUGUCGUGAGAUGUGGGUUAAGUCCCGCAACGAGCGCAACCCUUGUCAUUAGUUGCUACGAAAGGGCACUCUAAUGAGACUGCCGGUGACAAACCGGAGGAAGGUGGGGAUGACGUCAAGUCCGCAUGGCCUUUAUAUCCUGGGCUACACACACGCUACAAUGGCCAACACAAUAGGUUGCUAAGCCGCGAGGUGGCGCCAAUCCAUAAAGUUGGUCUCAGUUCAGAUUGUAGGCUGCAACCCGCCUGCAUGAAGAUGGAGUUGCUAGUAACCGCAGGUCAGCUAUACUGCGGUGAAUACGUUCCGGGCUU
This 399-nucleotide ribosomal RNA is filed under the name uncultured Allobrachymonas sp. RNAcentral's name for it is "bacterial SSU rRNA". It matches the Rfam family "Bacterial small subunit ribosomal RNA", at positions 974 to 1377 of the family's 1533-position model. The record is from RNAcentral. Lineage: Bacteria; Pseudomonadati; Pseudomonadota; Betaproteobacteria; Burkholderiales; Comamonadaceae.